This 605-nucleotide ribosomal RNA is filed under the name uncultured soil bacterium. Its description in RNAcentral is "bacterial SSU rRNA". It matches the Rfam family "Bacterial small subunit ribosomal RNA", at positions 224 to 823 of the family's 1533-position model. The record is from RNAcentral.
GAGAAGCCUGCGGCGGAUUAGCUUGUUGGUAGGGUAAUGGCCUACCAAGGCGACGAUCCGUAACCGGCCUGAGAGGGCGGUCGGUCACACUGACACUGACAUACGGGUCAGACUCCUACGGGAGGCAGCAGUCGGGAAUUUUGGGCAAUGGGCGAAAGCCUGACCCAGCAACGCCGCGUGAAGGAUGAAAUCCCUCGGGAUGUAAACUUCGCAAGAAUGGGAAGAAUAAGUAGAGGCGAAUACCCUUUAUGAUGACGGUACCAUUUGUAAGCUCCGGCUAACUUCGUGCCAGCAGCCGCGGUAAUACGAGGGGAGCAAGCGUUGUUCGGAUUUACUGGGCGUAAAGGGCGCGUAGGCGGCCACGACAAGUCACUUGUGAAAUCUCCGGGCUUAACUCGGAACGGUCAAGUGAUACUGUCGGGCUAGAGUACAGAAGGGGCAACUGGAAUUCUCGGUGUAGCGGUGAAAUGCGUAGAUAUCGAGAGGAACACCUGCGGCGAAGGCGGGUUACUGGGCUGAUACUGACGCUGAUGCGCGAAAGCCAGGGGAGCGAACGGGAUUAGAUACCCCGGUAGUCCUGGCCUUAAACGAUGAAUGCUUAGUGU